Long non-coding RNA from Paramormyrops kingsleyae, 1176 nucleotides. RefSeq lists it as uncharacterized. The record is from RefSeq and is a predicted model, not a curated record. Lineage: Eukaryota; Metazoa; Chordata; Actinopteri; Osteoglossiformes; Mormyridae.
CUUGACUGCUCCACGCGCCUGGGAGGGAUUUUCCAUGUUUGCAUGUUUCAGUGCACAAUCUUACAAAACCCUGAACUGACACACAAUCGGUUUCGUUUGAAAGGACUGCAUUAUUGAGCUCUGGUUAUAAAAAGGGCACCACGAUAGAGAGAACAGAAACUGUUCAGUUUGGACAACGAUCUGUUUGUUGACAGUAGCUGAGGACGAAGUAAGUUGACGAGACAGACGUUCACUGCUACAGUACUCGCCUCUGUUAGAGCUGCUUCUUCCCACAACCAUGGGUGUGAAAGUGCUGCAGUGCUUUCCCUGGUCCAGGAACUCCAAGGAGAGGAGCAAGAGUAGGCAAAGCACCAUCCGCACAGACACCUCCCUGCAAGAAGAGAAACCACAGUCGCCUGUUGCCCCAGCAUGGCACGAUGAGGGAGUGCAGAGGAGCUCGCGGGAGGCUCGGCACGUCUGCCUGACUCACAAAGCCGUCAUCUGUCUUCGACACCGGCUGGACGGCAACGUCAUUGAUUCCACCAACUGACGUCCCCAUUGGACGACCGGAAGGACCCGGGACUGUUACUAAUGCAAGUUCACAGCCCCUGAAGCUACUCCUGCAUUUGGGGUCAAAGGGUGGCUACUAAUACAACUUAUAGGGCAGGACUCAUUAAGCAACCCUCAGUCGGCCAUGGGCCUGAGGUGUGAGCUGCUACAGUGACAGGGACCGCCUGAAGAGGCCGCCACUGAGAGGCUAGGCCAGCUGCAUAGAAGUGUCCACAUAUACCCCGUCAUGCAUUCAUCUAACUGUUUAUCUUGGUUUGGGGUGCAGCAGGGCCUGGAGUCUAUCUCAGGCAGCAUAUUAGACAAGGUUGGGGUACAUCCUGGAUGGUAUGCCAGUCCGUAACACAAAGCCUACAUGCAGAUACAUACGCACAGCCAUAUUCUGUGGGUAACAGAGAGAGACCUUUUAGCCUAACGGCAUGUCUUUGGACCGUGGGAGGAAACGCAGACAAACAAACUCCUGAGUUUCCAUAGUGACUCGGUUACUAAAAUUUGUAUAAUUUAUGUAUGUGUGUGUGUGUAACUGAGAUGUGUAGGCCUCUCCUGUUGGGAUGACUCCCUAUUUCCCAUGGGUACACCCUCUGCAGUCUCUGGGCUGUGUCAUCUGUGAAAUAAAGAGCUACCAAGCUU